Molecule: long non-coding RNA, 262 nt
Organism: Armigeres subalbatus
Lineage: Eukaryota; Metazoa; Arthropoda; Insecta; Diptera; Culicidae
Exons: 3
Source: RefSeq, a predicted model, not a curated record
GUGAAAACAUGUGGUGAAGCAUCGGACAAGCUGGAAAGGGACAAGGAAAAGACAGCAGCAGAGGCUCGAGUUCCGUCGAUCCGCCACACGGCUAACGAUUGGUCGCAGGCCGCACGGCCCAGCAGAGGAGAUAGAAGUGCCUUCACGAUUUGUCUAUUUACCCCCCUGUAUUUCCUAAAUGUCUGGUCUGGUCUGGUCGCCAAAGGAGAUAAGCCUGCAGAAUGCCUUUACGGAACAGUAAGUCAUCUGAGAGACCGGUGGG